AGCAGUGGUCUCAACGCAGAGCCCCGGGGUGAUCUGUUGCUUAACUCACUUCAUAUUUGUAUAGGAUUUUGAAGUAUAAUGGCAAGUACUUUAGGAGGAAAAAACGUUUUAACAUUUAAGACCACAUUCUGGCCUCACUGACACUCUGUACUGGCUCAGCCCAUAGGCAUCAAUAGAGUUGCACAGGGCAUAAAUGAGGGCAGAAUUUAGCCUCAAGCAUUAGUAGAAAAGGGUUCAAAAUCUGCCUGAGUUGUUUGCAUUUCAGUUCAAACAGCUUGCUUGGAUUUAAACGUUCCUCUACAGUGUUUUCAACUCAAGUAGCACAGCUUUAUGCUAGUCCAGAACUGUAAAAUUAAGUUAAAUACUGAAAACAACAGUACAACUAUUCAAUUUUCAUUAUUUAAGAUGAGUGAAAUGCAAAAAAAAAAAAAAAAGGUGGGGGCGGCAACUAGCAUUAAUGGCAAAACAAUGCAUUUUUCAAGUUGAAUCAUUUAAUGAAUUAUUUGUCAAGCAGCUAGUUUAAUAUCUAUGUAGCCUGAUUCUCCACUGCCUUGUACACUGUGCGGUUAUUUAUCAAAUGGUGCCGAAUCACAAUGCAAGAUAUCAGGUCUGUGUAUUAUACCCGGACAGCGCCCAUUUACACGAGGUCUACGAAGUAAGGCUUAGCGCGCAGCUAGGAUUUUGACAGCCUGUCCGG
Molecule: non-coding RNA, 697 nt
Organism: Chelonoidis abingdonii (Abingdon island giant tortoise)
Lineage: Eukaryota; Metazoa; Chordata; Testudines; Testudinidae
Source: RefSeq, a predicted model, not a curated record